RNAcentral lists this ribosomal RNA (388 nucleotides) under uncultured bacterium. RNAcentral's name for it is "bacterial SSU rRNA". It matches the Rfam family "Bacterial small subunit ribosomal RNA", at positions 28 to 417 of the family's 1533-position model. The record is from RNAcentral.
GACGAACGCUGGCGGCGUGCUUAACACAUGCAAGUCGAGCGGUAAGGCCCUUUCGGGGGUACACGAGCGGCGAACGGGUGAGUAACACGUGGGUGACCUGCCCUCAGCUCUGGGAUAAGCCUGGGAAGCCGGGUCUAAUACCGGAUAUGACUCCAUGACGCAUGUUGUGGGGUGGAAAGCCUUGUGCGGCUGAGGAUGGGCCCGCGGCCUAUCAGCUUGUUGGUGGGGUGAUGGCCUACCAAGGCGACGACGGGUAGCCGGCCUGAGAGGGCGACCGGCCACACUGGGACUGAGACACGGCCCAGACUCCUACGGGAGGCAGCAGUGGGGAAUCUUGCGCAAUGGGCGAAAGCCUGACGCAGCGACGCCGCGUGAGGGAUGACGGCCU